UACGUAGGGGGCGAGCGUUGUCCGGAAUCAUUGGGCGUAAAGCGCGCGUAGGCGGUGAGGGAAGUCGGCCGUGAAAGCGCCGGGCUCAACUCGGCGAGGUCGGGCGAGACUCCCUGGCUAGAGGACGGUAGAGGGCGGUGGAAUUCCGGGUGUAGUGGUGGAAUGCGUAGAGCUCCGGAGGAACACCAGUGGCGAAGGCGGCCGCCUGGGCCGGCCCUGACGCUGAGGCGCGAAAGCGUGGGGAGCGAUCCGG
RNAcentral lists this ribosomal RNA (253 nucleotides) under uncultured bacterium. Its description in RNAcentral is "partial 16S ribosomal RNA". It matches the Rfam family "Bacterial small subunit ribosomal RNA", at positions 524 to 776 of the family's 1533-position model. The record is from RNAcentral.